CCCUUAGAUGUUCCGGGCCGCACGCGUGCUACACUGAGUGGAUCAGCGGGUCAGGUUGCGCGAAAGUGUUUCCUAAUCUUGAAAUCCGCUCGUGAUGGGGAUUGACGGUUGCAAUUUUCCGUCAUGAACGAGGAAUACCUUGUAAGCGCGGGUCAUCAUCCCGCGCUGAAUACGUCCCUGCCCUUUGUACACACCGCCCGUCGCUCCUACCGAUUGAGUGGUCCGGUGAGGCUUUGGGAUCUGAGCGGAAAGAGCGUUUCGCUGUUUCUGCUCGGAAAACUCAGUCGAACCUUAUCAUUUAGAGGAAGGAGAAGUCGUAACA
This 322-nucleotide ribosomal RNA is filed under the name uncultured eukaryote. Its description in RNAcentral is "partial 18S ribosomal RNA". It matches the Rfam family "Eukaryotic small subunit ribosomal RNA", at positions 1470 to 1796 of the family's 1831-position model. The record is from RNAcentral.